This 500-nucleotide ribosomal RNA is filed under the name uncultured bacterium. Its description in RNAcentral is "partial 16S ribosomal RNA". It matches the Rfam family "Bacterial small subunit ribosomal RNA", at positions 30 to 523 of the family's 1533-position model. The record is from RNAcentral.
AUUGAACGCUGGCGGCAUGCCUUACACAUGCAAGUCGAACGGCAGCACGGGUGCUUGCACCUGGUGGCGAGUGGCGAACGGGUGAGUAAUAUAUCGGAACGUACCUUAUUGUGGGGGAUAACGCAGCGAAAGCUGUGCUAAUACCGCAUAAUCCCUAAGGGGGAAAGCGGGGGACCGUAAGGCCUCGCGCAAUUAGAGCGGCCGAUACCUGAUUAGCUAGUUGGUGAGGUAAAGGCUCACCAAGGCAACGAUCAGUAGCUGGUCUGAGAGGACGAUCAGCCACACUGGGACUGGGACACGGCCCAGACUCCUACGGGAGGCAGCAGUGGGGAAUUUUGGACAAUGGGGGCAACCCUGAUCCAGCAAUGCCGCGUGAGUGAAGAAGGCCUUCGGGUUGUAAAGCUCUUUUGUCAGGGAAGAAACAGCAGCUCUAACACAGUAUGCGAAUGACGGUACCUGAAGAAUAAGCACCGGCCACUACGUGCCAGCCGCCGCGGUAA